GGUUAAGCGACUAAGCGUACACGGUGGAUGCCCUGGCAGUCAGAGGCGAUGAAGGACGUGCUAAUCUGCGAUAAGCGUCGGUAAGGUGAUAUGAACCGUUAUAACCGGCGAUUUCCGAAUGGGGAAACCCAGUGUGUUUCGACACACUAUCAUUAACUGAAUCCAUAGGUUAAUGAGGCGAACCGGGGGAACUGAAACAUCUAAGUACCCCGAGGAAAAGAAAUCAACCGAGAUUCCCCCAGUAGCGGCGAGCGAACGGGGAGCAGCCCAGAGCCUGAAUCAGUGUGUGUGUUAGUGGAAGCGUCUGGAAAGGCGCGCGAUACAGGGUGACAGCCCCGUACACAAAAAUGCACAUGCUGUGAGCUCGAUGAGUAGGGCGGGACACGUGGUAUCCUGUCUGAAUAUGGGGGGACCAUCCUCCAAGGCUAAAUACUCCUGACUGACCGAUAGUGAACCAGUACCGUGAGGGAAAGGCGAAAAGAACCCCGGCGAGGGGAGUGAAAAAGAACCUGAAACCGUGUACGUACAAGCAGUGGGAGCACGCUUAGGCGUGUGACUGCGUACCUUUUGUAUAAUGGGUCAGCGACUUAUAUUCUGUAGCAAGGUUAACCGAAUAGGGGAGCCGAAGGGAAACCGAGUCUUAACUGGGCGUUAAGUUGCAGGGUAUAGACCCGAAACCCGGUGAUCUAGCCAUGGGCAGGUUGAAGGUUGGGUAACACUAACUGGAGGACCGAACCGACUAAUGUUGAAAAAUUAGCGGAUGACUUGUGGCUGGGGGUGAAAGGCCAAUCAAACCGGGAGAUAGCUGGUUCUCCCCGAAAGCUAUUUAGGUAGCGCCUCGUGAAUUCAUCUCCGGGGGUAGAGCACUGUUUCGGCAAGGGGGUCAUCCCGACUUACCAACCCGAUGCAAACUGCGAAUACCGGAGAAUGUUAUCACGGGAGACACACGGCGGGUGCUAACGUCCGUCGUGAAGAGGGAAACAACCCAGACCGCCAGCUAAGGUCCCAAAGUCAUGGUUAAGUGGGAAACGAUGUGGGAAGGCCCAGACAGCCAGGAUGUUGGCUUAGAAGCAGCCAUCAUUUAAAGAAAGCGUAAUAGCUCACUGGUCGAGUCGGCCUGCGCGGAAGAUGUAACGGGGCUAAACCAUGCACCGAAGCUGCGGCAGCGACGCUGAUGCGUUGUUGGGUAGGGGAGCGUUCUGUAAGCCUGCGAAGGUGUGCUGUGAGGCAUGCUGGAGGUAUCAGAAGUGCGAAUGCUGACAUAAGUAACGAUAAAGCGGGUGAAAAGCCCGCUCGCCGGAAGACCAAGGGUUCCUGUCCAACGUUAAUCGGGGCAGGGUGAGUCGACCCCUAAGGCGAGGCCGAAAGGCGUAGUCGAUGGGAAACAGGUUAAUAUUCCUGUACUUGGUGUUACUGCGAAGGGGGGACGGAGAAGGCUAUGUUGGCCGGGCGACGGUUGUCCCGGUUUAAGCGUGUAGGCUGGUUUUCCAGGCAAAUCCGGAAAAUCAAGGCUGAGGCGUGAUGACGAGGCACUACGGUGCUGAAGCAACAAAUGCCCUGCUUCCAGGAAAAGCCUCUAAGCAUCAGGUAACAUCAAAUCGUACCCCAAACCGACACAGGUGGUCAGGUAGAGAAUACCAAGGCGCUUGAGAGAACUCGGGUGAAGGAACUAGGCAAAAUGGUGCCGUAACUUCGGGAGAAGGCACGCUGAUAUGUAGGUGAGGUCCCUCGCGGAUGGAGCUGAAAUCAGUCGAAGAUACCAGCUGGCUGCAACUGUUUAUUAAAAACACAGCACUGUGCAAACACGAAAGUGGACGUAUACGGUGUGACGCCUGCCCGGUGCCGGAAGGUUAAUUGAUGGGGUUAGCGCAAGCGAAGCUCUUGAUCGAAGCCCCGGUAAACGGCGGCCGUAACUAUAACGGUCCUAAGGUAGCGAAAUUCCUUGUCGGGUAAGUUCCGACCUGCACGAAUGGCGUAAUGAUGGCCAGGCUGUCUCCACCCGAGACUCAGUGAAAUUGAACUCGCUGUGAAGAUGCAGUGUACCCGCGGCAAGACGGAAAGACCCCGUGAACCUUUACUAUAGCUUGACACUGAACAUUGAGCCUUGAUGUGUAGGAUAGGUGGGAGGCUUAGAAGUGUGGACGCCAGUCUGCAUGGAGCCGACCUUGAAAUACCACCCUUUAAUGUUUGAUGUUCUAACGUUGACCCGUAAUCCGGGUUGCGGACAGUGUCUGGUGGGUAGUUUGACUGGGGCGGUCUCCUCCUAAAGAGUAACGGAGGAGCACGAAGGUUGGCUAAUCCUGGUCGGACAUCAGGAGGUUAGUGCAAUGGCAUAAGCCAGCUUGACUGCGAGCGUGACGGCGCGAGCAGGUGCGAAAGCAGGUCAUAGUGAUCCGGUGGUUCUGAAUGGAAGGGCCAUCGCUCAACGGAUAAAAGGUACUCCGGGGAUAACAGGCUGAUACCGCCCAAGAGUUCAUAUCGACGGCGGUGUUUGGCACCUCGAUGUCGGCUCAUCACAUCCUGGGGCUGAAGUAGGUCCCAAGGGUAUGGCUGUUCGCCAUUUAAAGUGGUACGCGAGCUGGGUUUAGAACGUCGUGAGACAGUUCGGUCCCUAUCUGCCGUGGGCGCUGGAGAACUGAGGGGGGCUGCUCCUAGUACGAGAGGACCGGAGUGGACGCAUCACUGGUGUUCGGGUUGUCAUGCCAAUGGCACUGCCCGGUAGCUAAAUGCGGAAGAGAUAAGUGCUGAAAGCAUCUAAGCACGAAACUUGCCCCGAGAUGAGUUCUCCCUGACCCUUUAAGGGUCCUGAAGGAACGUUGAAGACGACGACGUUGAUAGGCCGGGUGUGUAAGCGCAGCGAUGCGUUGAGCUAACCGGUACUAAUGAACCGUGAGGCUUAACCUU
Molecule: ribosomal RNA, 2904 nt
Filed under: Escherichia coli
Lineage: Bacteria; Pseudomonadati; Pseudomonadota; Gammaproteobacteria; Enterobacterales; Enterobacteriaceae
Also listed under: 2 other names
Description: 23S ribosomal RNA
Rfam family: Bacterial large subunit ribosomal RNA
Source: RNAcentral